UCCCCUUUCUGCAGCCGCUUACAGGAUGAGAACACCAGGAGAAGCAUCUAUAAAUAUCAGCCUGGCUCACCGGGAAGAUGGUCAGAGGCAUGGAGAAUCCAGUUGAAAGGAGGGUUGUAACUAGUGCGAAGAGAUAAACCGAGAGCAGGACAAGCUGUGGAGGAGGGCGAGGGGAGAGGAUGCUGGGGCAGCUGCAGCCAGAAGAACUUGUGGAGCAGGAAGUAUCGAAUAGAGCGUGCAUGAGGAGCCCGAGACGACCAGAUCAGAUUGAAAUAGGAAAAGGCAGCUCUGCCUGCUCUGAGAGUCUCUUUGGUGCCAGAGAAGAGGGAGAUGGCAGGCUGAGAGGAGAACGAGAUGGACGGCUGGAGCAAAUAGUGUCUAAUGAACCAUGCUGGAAACACUGUCAGAAGCAAAGAGCUGGAUCUGCAGGUCUGCAAGAGCAGAGGAGUGCUGGCUGCUUGCUUUUUGCACACAGAGAGCACAUCAGACUCUCUGCUUCCAGUUGCACAGGGCAUAGCCUACAUUCCCACUCCUUCAAAGGAUGAAUUGAGCCACACCAGAACGUGCCGUCCCCAGCCAUCAGGCUCCUCGUCCUCCACCUUAGGCAAUGCUCACCGCGCUGCCCUGAGCCCUGGCAGGGUUAGAUCCAGCCCCACGCCUCCCUUCUCCUCUCUGUGCAGCCUGAAGUGAAAAGAGAGGGAGCAAGCAAGCUGCUCUUUUACAGGAGUCUAUCUAGGGAAUGGUGCAAGCUGGGAUGAAGUCCUUCUUUUUAACCGUUUCUGAGUUGUGACUGGGCUGAUACUGGGCACAUGAAUGCUACUGAGAUUGCUGAUGCUUGAAGGUUAAAUGCUUGUCGGUCACUUUCAAGGUACAGCAGGUGAAAGUAAGCUUUGUGCUGCAAGAGAAACAAAGGGCAUCAGUACCUGGGCAUAUUUAAAUGAGAUUAUAUUUUAUAGAAAACACAUAUACACGUGCACGUGUGCUUAGGGUGCAGAGAAGGUGCACCUUUUAAACAUCUCCAGAGCAGGAGGAAGCAUGGACUCAUGAACCACAAGUGGCUCUCAGCACACAGCUGCUACUGCGAAGGUUUGAGCCAGAAGUUAACGGUGGUCUUAGCGCCCUUUCAGGAGAGCCUGGGAUGUGGCAAUACCACACUGCACCAACUGACACAAGGUGAGAUUUGUUAAUAUAUGGACUGGAGAAAUCCAAAAGGAUGUCAGGGAGGGUGGUGCCAGGCAGUGUAGAGCUCUUUUCUGUGCAUCAGCAGUAACCUGCACAUUCAGGGUGCAGAGCACAAGCACUACAGCACCAGGUGGCCUCCAGCUGUCCCUCUGCCCAGCUCUGUGCCCGUCUUUCUCAAUCACCUCCCACUUGGAGCCCUGGCUGCAGGAAGGGCUCCGGAUGCCCGGAGAGCGUGGGCUGCUCUCUGGGGAAGCACUUGCUCCAUUGUUACAGAAAUACGUGAAAAGAGGCAGCGUUUUCAGAGGCUCCUCAAAAUGUCACCGUCCCUUCCUUGGCAUGGCUCUGCGACCUAUCUAAUAUAAAAUAUUAUUUGUGAAACUUCCUUUUAAUUGCUGUUUAAUGGCUCC
This 1589-nucleotide long non-coding RNA is filed under the name Anas platyrhynchos (mallard). Its description in RNAcentral is "lncRNA (ENSAPLG00020008750.1)". The record is from RNAcentral. Lineage: Eukaryota; Metazoa; Chordata; Aves; Anseriformes; Anatidae.